This 253-nucleotide ribosomal RNA is filed under the name uncultured bacterium. RNAcentral's name for it is "partial 16S ribosomal RNA". It matches the Rfam family "Bacterial small subunit ribosomal RNA", at positions 524 to 776 of the family's 1533-position model. The record is from RNAcentral.
GACGAACCGUGCGAACGUUAUUCGGAAUCACUGGGCGUAAAGGGCGCGUAGGCGGCUUUAUAAGUCGGGGGUGAAAGCCUGUGGCUCAACCACAGAAUUGCCUUCGAUACUGUAGAGCUUGAGACCGGAAGAGGUAAGUGGAACUGCGAGUGUAGAGGUGAAAUUCGUAGAUAUUCGGCGGAACACCAGUGGCGAAGGCGACUCACUGGCCCGAUACUGACGCUGAGGCGCGAAAGCGUGGGGAGCAAACAGG